Molecule: ribosomal RNA, 481 nt
Filed under: uncultured bacterium
Lineage: Bacteria
Description: partial 16S ribosomal RNA
Rfam family: Bacterial small subunit ribosomal RNA
Source: RNAcentral
GAUGAACGCUGGCGGCGUGCUUAACACAUGCAAGUCGAACGAAGCAUUUGCGACAGAUUUUUUCGGAAUGAAGUUGCUUAUGACUGAGUGGCGGACGGGUGAGUAACGCGUGGGUAACCUGCCUUGUACUGGGGGAUAGCAGCUGGAAACGGCUGGUAAUACCGCAUAAGCGCACAAUGUUGCAUGAAAUGGUGUGAAAAACUACGGUGGUAUAAGAUGGACCCGCGUCUGAUUAGCUAGUUGGUGAGAUAACAGCCCACCAAGGCGACGAUCAGUAGCCGACCUGAGAGAGUGACCGGCCACAUUGGGACUGAGACACCGCCCAGACUCCUACGAGAAGCUGCAGUGGUGAAUAUUGCACAAUUGAGGAAACUCUGAUGCAGCGACGCCGCGUGAGUGAAGAAGUUAUUCGUUAUGUAAGUCUCUAUCAGCAGGGAAGAUUGUGACGGUACCUGGCGAAGAAGCUCCGGCUAAUUACGUG